GGCCUGGUAGCCAAGUAGUAAGGCGUCGGUCUGCAAAACCGAUAUUGCGUGGGUGCAAUUCCCACCCAGGCCUCC
RNAcentral lists this transfer RNA (75 nucleotides) under Parcubacteria group bacterium ADurb.Bin247. RNAcentral's name for it is "tRNA-Cys". It matches the Rfam family "tRNA". Rfam says of the family: Transfer RNA (tRNA) molecules are approximately 80 nucleotides in length. Their secondary structure includes four short double-helical elements and three loops (D, anti-codon, and T loops). The record is from RNAcentral.